RNAcentral lists this ribosomal RNA (2758 nucleotides) under Klebsiella pneumoniae. Its description in RNAcentral is "bacterial LSU rRNA". It matches the Rfam family "Bacterial large subunit ribosomal RNA". The record is from RNAcentral. Lineage: Bacteria; Pseudomonadati; Pseudomonadota; Gammaproteobacteria; Enterobacterales; Enterobacteriaceae.
CACUAUCGUUAACUGAAUACAUAGGUUAACGAGGCGAACCGGGGGAACUGAAACAUCUAAGUACCCCGAGGAAAAGAAAUCAACCGAGAUUCCCCCAGUAGCGGCGAGCGAACGGGGAGCAGCCCAGAGUCUGAAUCAGCUUGUGUGUUAGUGGAACGGUCUGGAAAGUCCGACGGUACAGGGUGAUAGUCCCGUACACCAAAAUGCACAGGCUGUGAACUCGAAGAGUAGGGCGGGACACGUGGUAUCCUGUCUGAAUAUGGGGGGACCAUCCUCCAAGGCUAAAUACUCCUGACUGACCGAUAGUGAACCAGUACCGUGAGGGAAAGGCGAAAAGAACCCCGGCGAGGGGAGUGAAAAAGAACCUGAAACCGUGUACGUACAAGCAGUGGGAGCACCUUCGGGUGUGACUGCGUACCUUUUGUAUAAUGGGUCAGCGACUUAUAUUCUGUAGCAAGGUUAACCGUAUAGGGGAGCCGCAGGGAAACCGAGUCUUAACUGGGCGUUAAGUUGCAGGGUAUAGACCCGAAACCCGGUGAUCUAGCCAUGGGCAGGUUGAAGGUUGGGUAACACUAACUGGAGGACCGAACCGACUAAUGUUGAAAAAUUAGCGGAUGACUUGUGGCUGGGGGUGAAAGGCCAAUCAAACCGGGAGAUAGCUGGUUCUCCCCGAAAGCUAUUUAGGUAGCGCCUCGUGAAUUCAUCUUCGGGGGUAGAGCACUGUUUCGGCUAGGGGGUCAUCCCGACUUACCAACCCGAUGCAAACUACGAAUACCGAAGAAUGUUAUCACGGGAGACACACGGCGGGUGCUAACGUCCGUCGUGAAGAGGGAAACAACCCAGACCGCCAGCUAAGGUCCCAAAGUCAUGGUUAAGUGGGAAACGAUGUGGGAAGGCACAGACAGCCAGGAUGUUGGCUUAGAAGCAGCCAUCAUUUAAAGAAAGCGUAAUAGCUCACUGGUCGAGUCGGCCUGCGCGGAAGAUGUAACGGGGCUAAACCAUGCACCGAAGCUGCGGCAGCGACACUAUGUGUUGUUGGGUAGGGGAGCGUUCUGUAAGCCUGCGAAGGUGUGCUGUGAGGCAUGCUGGAGGUAUCAGAAGUGCGAAUGCUGACAUAAGUAACGAUAAAGCGGGUGAAAAGCCCGCUCGCCGGAAGACCAAGGGUUCCUGUCCAACGUUAAUCGGGGCAGGGUGAGUCGACCCCUAAGGCGAGGCCGAAAGGCGUAGUCGAUGGGAAACAGGUUAAUAUUCCUGUACUUGGUGUUACUGCGAAGGGGGGACGGAGAAGGCUAUGUUAGCCGGGCGACGGUUGUCCCGGUUUAAGCAUGUAGGCUGAUUAUCCAGGCAAAUCCGGAUAAUCAAGGCUGAGGUGUGAUGACGAGGCACUACGGUGCUGAAGUAACAAAUGCCCUGCUUCCAGGAAAAGCCUCUAAGCAUCAGGUAACAUUAAAUCGUACCCCAAACCGACACAGGUGGUCAGGUAGAGAAUACCAAGGCGCUUGAGAGAACUCGGGUGAAGGAACUAGGCAAAAUGGUGCCGUAACUUCGGGAGAAGGCACGCUGGUGUGUAGGUGAAGUCCCUGCGGAUGGAGCUGAGACCAGUCGAAGAUACCAGCUGGCUGCAACUGUUUAUUAAAAACACAGCACUGUGCAAACACGAAAGUGGACGUAUACGGUGUGACGCCUGCCCGGUGCCGGAAGGUUAAUUGAUGGGGUUAUCCGUAAGGAGAAGCUCUUGAUCGAAGCCCCGGUAAACGGCGGCCGUAACUAUAACGGUCCUAAGGUAGCGAAAUUCCUUGUCGGGUAAGUUCCGACCUGCACGAAUGGCGUAAUGAUGGCCAGGCUGUCUCCACCCGAGACUCAGUGAAAUUGAACUCGCUGUGAAGAUGCAGUGUACCCGCGGCAAGACGGAAAGACCCCGUGAACCUUUACUAUAGCUUGACACUGAACAUUGAGCCUUGAUGUGUAGGAUAGGUGGGAGGCUUUGAAGCGUGGACGCCAGUCUGCGUGGAGCCAACCUUGAAAUACCACCCUUUAAUGUUUGAUGUUCUAACGUUGGCCCCUUACCGGGGUUGCGGACAGUGUCUGGUGGGUAGUUUGACUGGGGCGGUCUCCUCCCAAAGCGUAACGGAGGAGCACGAAGGUUAGCUAAUCCUGGUCGGACAUCAGGAGGUUAGUGCAAUGGCAUAAGCUAGCUUGACUGCGAGCGUGACGGCGCGAGCAGGUGCGAAAGCAGGUCAUAGUGAUCCGGUGGUUCUGAAUGGAAGGGCCAUCGCUCAACGGAUAAAAGGUACUCCGGGGAUAACAGGCUGAUACCGCCCAAGAGUUCAUAUCGACGGCGGUGUUUGGCACCUCGAUGUCGGCUCAUCACAUCCUGGGGCUGAAGUAGGUCCCAAGGGUAUGGCUGUUCGCCAUUUAAAGUGGUACGCGAGCUGGGUUUAGAACGUCGUGAGACAGUUCGGUCCCUAUCUGCCGUGGGCGCUGGAGAAUUGAGGGGGGCUGCUCCUAGUACGAGAGGACCGGAGUGGACGCAUCACUGGUGUUCGGGUUGUCAUGCCAAUGGCACUGCCCGGUAGCUAAAUGCGGAAGAGAUAAGUGCUGAAAGCAUCUAAGCACGAAACUUGCCCCGAGAUGAGUUCUCCCUGAGACUUUAAGUCUCCUGAAGGAACGUUGAAGACGACGACGUUGAUAGGCCGGGUGUGUAAGCGCAGCGAUGCGUUGAGCUAACCGGUACUAAUGAACCGUGAGGCUUAACCUU